GUGUCAGCAGCCGCGGUAAUACAGAGGUCCCAAGCGUUGUUCGGAUUCAUUGGGCGUAAAGGGUGCGUAGGCGGCGAGGCAAGUCUGGUGUGAAAUCCCGGGGCUCAACCCCGGAACUGCACUGGAUACUGCCUUGCUAGAGUACUGGAGAGGGAACUGGAAUUUACGGUGUAGCAGUGAAAUGCGUAGAUAUCGUAAGGAAGACCAGUGGCGAAGGCGAGUUCCUGGACAGUUGCUGACGCUGAGGCACGAAGGCCAGGGGAGCAAACGGGAUUAGAUACCCUAGUAGUCC
RNAcentral lists this ribosomal RNA (292 nucleotides) under uncultured bacterium. RNAcentral describes it as "partial 16S ribosomal RNA". It matches the Rfam family "Bacterial small subunit ribosomal RNA", at positions 505 to 796 of the family's 1533-position model. The record is from RNAcentral.